RNAcentral lists this ribosomal RNA (482 nucleotides) under uncultured bacterium. RNAcentral describes it as "partial 16S ribosomal RNA". It matches the Rfam family "Bacterial small subunit ribosomal RNA", at positions 28 to 523 of the family's 1533-position model. The record is from RNAcentral.
GACGAACGCUGGAGGCGUGCUUAACACAUGCAAGUCGAACGAUGAAAUGGAGCUUGCUCCAUGGAUUAGUGGCGAACGGGUGAGUAACACGUGAAUAACCUGCCCUUAAUUUUGGAAUAACCCAGGGAAACCUGGGCUAAUACCGGAUAAGUAAACCUGUGGCAUCACAUGGUUUUGGAAAGUUUUUCGAUUAAGGAUGGAUUCGCGGCCUAUCAGCUUGUUGGUGAGGUAAUGGCUCACCAAGGCGACGACGGGUAGCCGGCCUGAGAGGGUGAACCGCAAAACUGGGACAGAGACACGGCACAGACUCGUGCGGGAGGCAGCAGUGGGGAAUAUUGCGCAAUGGACGAAAGUCUUACGCAGCGACGCCUCGUGAGGGACGAAGGUCUUCGGAUUGUAAACCUCUUUCAGCAGGGACGAAGCGAAAGUGACGGUACCUGCAGAAGAAGCACCGGCUAACUAUGUGCCAGCCGCCGCCGUAA